RNAcentral lists this unclassified non-coding RNA (389 nucleotides) under Hevea brasiliensis (rubber tree). The record is from RNAcentral. Lineage: Eukaryota; Viridiplantae; Streptophyta; Magnoliopsida; Malpighiales; Euphorbiaceae.
AGGUGCCUCCUAUAAUUGGCAGCAUUGGUAUGGGGAGCUCAGCUUCUCGACAAAGUGUUUCUGUAGCUCCAACACCUAGCACUUCAAGUGGGACAGCUAGUCUUAACAUGGCUAAAGCAUUGUCGCAAGCACCGCCCAGUGCUCGUUCUACCAUGCAGAUCCCUGAUAAGACACAGAGGCUUGAGGAAUUAUCUAUAAAGCAAUCCAGACAGUUGAUACCUGUAAUACCUUCAAUGCCUAAAGUUUUGGUACCCAGUUCUGCUGAUAAAUCAAAGCAACCAAAAUCCAUAGCUAGGACAAAUGAGAUUGUUGGAAUAGCUAAGAGUAUGCAACAACCUUCUUCCUCUCAACUUGCUAAUCAGGCUCGUAAUGGACAAGAGAGAGCUGCG